Felis catus (domestic cat) is the source of this 4491-nucleotide long non-coding RNA. RefSeq lists it as uncharacterized. The record is from RefSeq and is a predicted model, not a curated record. The transcript is spliced from 5 exons. NCBI's taxonomy places the organism in Eukaryota, Metazoa, Chordata, Mammalia, Carnivora, Felidae.
GCAUGUGGGGACACGUGUGUGCACACAUGUGGCUGGGAUACUACUGUGGCUCCCUGUGUCCCUAUGUGUGCAACCUGGGCGCCACUGUGUGCCUGUCUGGAAGCAUGCUCCACGGGCAUAUACCUGCGUGUCCAAGUAGGCCCCGUGUGCACAUAUGUGUGCGUGCCUGGGUGUGUACGAGCACGCGUGGACCUCACUGUGCACGCCCUCACCAGAAAGCUCCACCAAGGAACAACGCAGAGGCUUCACUCUGGAUGACAAACGAGGAGGGGAGAGGCCUGCCCUGCCUGGACUCUGGGCCCCAGCCAGGACUGUGUAAGCGAGAGGAUACCUGCACCCCCUUUAAUCCCUCAGCGGGGUCUCCCCAGUGGGGAGACCAGACCUGGGAAACAUGGCUCACCUUGGUAAGCCAUCAGCCUCUCCACGCCUCAGUUUCUUCAUCUGCAAAAUGGGCAUGCCUUUAGGCCUAGUGAGGCUAGUGCAUGUAAGCACUUAAUAAAGCCUGCAGCGGUGGGGCUCAGAUGGCCCAGCCCUCUGCUCUGAGGACCUCCCUGACCUGGCAUGCACAUCUGCAUGGUCAUGUACACGUGCGUGCACACGAGCUGGGGAACAGUGAAGACGCUCCCAGAGGAGACGCUCAGAAACGAUGAUGAGGUCUUUUCUGAAUGGACCUGACCAUUUCGAAGAACAGAAUGGCAAUUUCACAUGGUGCAACCGGGGAGGUGAACCGCCCAGCCCAGAGCCGGCCUGCAGCGGCACUCACCCCAGCAGCUGUCGUAGCGGAGCGAGCCUGCGUCCUCUAUAAACCCAGGUGACCUCGCGCUUCUUCGUUUCUGUUUUCCUGGAAAUUUUUACAAAAUUCCUUUGAACUCUCCAACUUCUCUCACUAAAUGAAAAUAAGUUGGGGUCUCUGAUUAAAACAGAAAAGCCGAUAUUCCGCCCCCCCCCCGCCCCCCACGGAUGCCAGUGGCCAAGGUAGAGGGGUGGCCCCACAGGAGAAGGGAGGACUGGCCUGGGAGGAGGGGAGUGGUGGGGAUGACCCCCUUCCCCUCCCAAGCCCUUCAGAAGAGGCUGACGGGAAAGGGUGGUGAGAAGGGGUGGAGCCCGAGGAGAUUGUGGGGUGUGUACAAAAUGCUGCGUUCUGAAAGGGGGGCGUGGGAGUGGACUGGAUGCACCCACGCUCUGUGGCUCCUGCCCGGAAUAUUGGGUGAAAAGCGAAGUGGGAGGCCAGGGGUCUCGCCAACCUCAGAGAGCCCCACGUGCAGGUUCUAGGACAUUCCCAUUCUCAGAGACCCAUUCAGCCUGCGGCGGGGGGGACAGCCCCUGCCUCAGCAACCCCCGCCCCAGGCAGCAGCCUUGCCUCUCCCUCUUAAAGUCAAGUUCAGCCCAGAGGGAGGGGGAAGGUCAGGUCACAGUAGCAAGUAGAGCUGACAAGCUGAAGGAACCAGGCAAUCCAUGAGGAAGGCCCCACAGGGCCAGGGAGCCCCCUACACAGACACCCUCUGAGCGAAAGGCCACACACAGCCUGGGGAGCCCCACUCCCCACCACGGCCCUGUAUCCCAUUCUCUCUUGUCCUCUGGGCUCCCACAUCUCCCGUGCUGCCCUGCGGGAUCAGGCCCUCUCUGCCCUCGCUGUGUCCAUGCAGGGAAAUAGCAUCCUAUCAAUUCCGGCACACUCAUCAAGUGCUGAUCUAGAGCAAUGACGAUAACUCCGCCAGCCCUUUGCAGGAAGCCUAACAGGUGUUCUUUAAUUCUCCCAGAGACAUGGCUGUUAUCAUCCUAUUUCACAGAUUGAGAACUUGAGGUUGAGAGAGGAUGAUGGGUAUUAGUUUCCUGGAGCUGCUGUCACUGGCUUCAAACGACAGAAAUUUGUUCUCUCACAGUCCUGGAGGCUAGACGUCCAAAAUCAAGGUGCCGGCAGGAGGUACCUGGGUGGCUCGGUUGGUUAAGCAUCUGACUCUUGGCUUCGACUCAGGUCACGAUCUCAUGGUUGUGGGAUGGAGCCAUGUGUUGAGCUCCGGGCACCACGCUGGGCUUGGAGCCUGCUUGAGAUUCUCUCUCCCCCCCUCUCUUUCUGCCCCUCCCCUGCUCAUGCUCGUUCUCUCUUCAGAAUCUGCAUCAGAAUCUGGCUCGUGGCCGCUUUUGUGCGUAGCAGGCCACUUUGGAUCAUGGCUGUGGGUCCCUCUAGUCUGUCCAGAGACACUGCCCCCGAAGGUGGCCUGCUCGGCUGUUAGCUGAAUCUCCUUCCUGCCCUUUUGCCCACUCCCCCGGCAGGGGCCAGGAGAUCAGGAGGGUUUGGGGUGGAGGGAGGGGUGAGCACAUCACGGCAGAAGGGGCCUGAGGAGGGAUGAAGAGGAAGGUCAUCCCCAGAGGACAAGUAUAGAGACCUAGAGCGACAAGUGUCCGGGUCUCUCCUUCCCGUUUCCAGAGGCCCAGGAUCCCCCCACCAUCCUCGGAACACAAAAGCAGCCUCUGUGCCGGUAGGAAAGCUACAGGGCUGGAGCUUCCUCACAUGCACCUGCUGGACUUUUCCAGAAAUAUCAACAAAGGUCCAACUUUCUUUCCAUCCCUCUUUUGAAGCAGGAGCUUGGGGCUGAAGCGUUGCCUGCACCUGUGGGAGGGGUCGAGGUGGGCGGCUGUGACCACGGGGGGUGUGGGUGGAGAAACCGGGGGCUGUGGAUGCCACUAAAAGUCGCCUCCAGGCCCUCCUUCACCCUAGACAGUCAUCCUGCCCCUCCCACUCCCCAAAACAGGGCAGCAAAGAGGAAGGGAUGCGGGGAGAGCAGAAGGGGGAAGUCCCCAGCUCUGCCGGGUCCCAAGAUCACCAACCGUGAGAGAUGCUCGUGCCAUCCGGCCCCCAGAAGAUGUCACUUGUCUCUCCCGGCUACGCUCCAGGGAGAAGGACAGCACUGCACAGACUGGACAUAGGUGUGCAAGGAGGGGGCCCCAGCCCCUGCACAGGAGGAGCUGAGGGGGGAACAGGAGACGCCAGGACUGCUUGGGACGGGCUGAGGUUCAUGUGCAGGAGGCAGGUGAUUUGACGCUGGAGCCUGAAGAGGGGCCAGUACUGACCAUCCAUUUCUUCAGUUGUUUAACAAACACAGUGUGUCAGGCUCUGUUCUAGGUGCUGGGGACACCACAGGGACGAGGCGCAAAGCCCUGCUCCCCUGCGGCAGACAGACGACAAAUAACCAAGCUCACAAUUGCAGAGGGCUCUAACCAGAUUGUUGGGGAAUCUCGACUGGCUGGGAAAUAGACGUGAAAUUGUUUCAUUCUUCCAGGCACUGCCCUGGGCAGAGGCUGCUUUCCGGCUGGAAGCGGCAGCUCCCUGGCCAACACCCGGCCAGAUUCUGAGCCUUCUCCACCUGCCAGGUGGACCUUCAGAAGCUCUAUGCCGAUGAGCUGGUGGGUGGAGGGCUCCCCUGGCCCUCAGUUCUCCACUGUUGCGUAGGGAGAGAGAGAAAGAGGAAUCUGCUCCCGACGUUCCUGGGCCAGGGAGCCCCAGAACCACGACUCCUUUUCUGUGAACAGUACCAGGGGUCCAACUUGCUCACCAACGGAGUGUUCACUUGGGGCACUCCCCGUGCUCAGCAAGGCCCCACACUUGGUUUAACAUGCUGCUGCCAUGGUCUCGAAAUUCUUAACAAUUGUGGAACAAGGGGCCCUGCAUUUGCAUUUUUCACCCAGACUGUUACAACGUACGUAGCCGGUCCUGCCUGCCAGACAUGCGUGUUACAGCUGCGUCCAGCUGGCCACAUCACUCCACACUGCGCCCCGCCCCCAACGCUGCAACAGUCCCCAAAAGCCUGAAGCCGCAGACUCAUCCACUCUCCAGGCCGGCUCUCCGGGCUGUGGGCACACGUGAGAUUGCCCUCUGUACGUGAGGGACCAGGAACCUCAGGGUGCGGGUAUCAGCCUCUCCUCACUAGGCAGGCCCCACCCCACCAUCCUCAGGAGCCCCCCGGGCCGGACGGCGGGUCCCCUGGCUAAGCUGAACUCCAAUGGGACACCGAAAUGCCAGCCUCUCCCUCCUGCCAGCUCCCUUGAUUCCUGAACAAGGGAUUCCUUCAUCCUUCCGGGGUCCCUGCCCUUCCUUCCAGCUCUGCUGCAGACGUGAGGGAAGAUGCUCUCUCCCUCAAAUCUGUGCAGUCCCCAAGGCUCUCCCCCACCGGCCCCCACCUCUUCUCCUCUGCACGUGGGCGAGGGCCUUUGGGGAGGAUGUGGGUCUGACAGGGCCCGGCCGUGAGCCCUGCAGUGACAAGGAGGUCUGGGAGGGUCUGCCACUCGACUAGCCUGUGGGAGACCCAGCCCCUUGGGACAGGCAAGUCCCCACCAGACAGCCGGCAACAGAGCAGCGACUGCUCUGAAGAAGGUGCCAGAGGGGAUGUGGCAGAGAAGAGGACACGCUGUCGGGACAGUGGCCAUUCCAGUGGAAGAGGCCGAGGACGACCAGGAGGACCAGUCACCAGUAAUAAAAAAAGUUGCACGAAA